RNAcentral lists this ribosomal RNA (453 nucleotides) under uncultured Paludibacter sp. Its description in RNAcentral is "partial 16S ribosomal RNA". It matches the Rfam family "Bacterial small subunit ribosomal RNA", at positions 341 to 792 of the family's 1533-position model. Lineage: Bacteria; Pseudomonadati; Bacteroidota; Bacteroidia; Bacteroidales; Paludibacteraceae. The record is from RNAcentral.
ACGGGAGGCAGCAGUGAGGAAUAUUGGUCAAUGGGCGGAAGCCUGAACCAGCCAAGUCGCGUGAAGGAUGAAGGUAUUAUGUAUUGUAAACUUCUUUAGCUGUGGAGCAAUAAUCGCCAUGCAUGGCGAGAUGAGAGUACACAGAGAAUAAGGAUCGGCUAACUCCGUGCCAGCAGCCGCGGUAAUACGGAGGAUCCGAGCGUUAUCCGGAUUUAUUGGGUUUAAAGGGUGCGCAGGCGGCUUUCUAAGUCAGUGGUUAAAUAGCGGUGCUCAACGCCGUCCCGCCAUUGAUACUGGAGAGCUUGAUUGCGGUCGAGGUUUGCGGAAUUCGUCGUGUAGCGGUGAAAUGCGUAGAUAUUAGGAGGAACACCAGUGGCGAAGGCGGCUUACUGGACUGUAACUGACGUUGAGGCUCGAAGGCGUGGGGAGCAAACAGGAUUAGAUACCCUGGUA